Solanum stenotomum is the source of this 803-nucleotide long non-coding RNA. RefSeq lists it as uncharacterized. Lineage: Eukaryota; Viridiplantae; Streptophyta; Magnoliopsida; Solanales; Solanaceae. The record is from RefSeq and is a predicted model, not a curated record. The transcript is spliced from 2 exons.
UUCCUUGUCGUCUUCUCCAUUUACCUCGACAAACAAUACGCGUAGUGCUGUUCCAGCGCCGAUUCCAGCUGCAAAUUUGUCCUUGUGGCCUCAAGAUCGAGCCACGUAGCAUUCAAAGGACGAUAGGUCGAUCUUAGCCCUCCUUCUCGCCUUCAAUCCGUUGAAAUUUCAAGAAUCAUUGGGAAUAUGCUCUGGUUCUGGAGAGAAUUUCGUUUGAAAUUCAAAUUUUGGCCCCUUUUCUAGCCCGAUUUUACUCUCAUCGUUUUCCCCCUCAAAUUGGACCCACAAGCUUUCCUAUAAAUACCCUUCUUUGCUCACUGUUCAGAGGACGAUUUUUUGAGACCUGAGAGUACCCUAAAAUGUUUGGGAAAUCUUGGUUCAAUAGUUUAAUUUGUUGUGGUUGUUUGAGUUGAAAGAGGUGGAAUCGUCUCCAUCAAACUCGUCCGUCCAGUUCGCUGCCCCGAGCCAGUUUGAAAAUGGCACCAGCUGAAGCGGAGUUGCAGCUGCCUCUAAAAGGCAGAAAAACGAGGAGUAAAAUUGGGUCAAAACCCCGACAGACCCGCAGCAGUAGCAGCAGUCCCAAAGGGGCUAAAAUUGGAAAUUUUUGGACUUUAAAAAGUUCAAUCUGGGCAGCAGUAAAUGAGAAGCAGCAAGCUGACUUAAAGUUGUCCAAAUUCUAUUUGCACUUUUGUUUCCCUUAUAUCGUGAUUUUUUGAUACUUGCUCUUAAUUUCUAAUAUUUGUUUUAUCAAUUUAGAUGAAUCCUUGGGGUGAUAUGUUUAUUUAAGUUCUCAAAUUUCGAAA